Molecule: ribosomal RNA, 303 nt
Filed under: uncultured bacterium
Lineage: Bacteria
Description: partial 16S ribosomal RNA
Rfam family: Bacterial small subunit ribosomal RNA
Source: RNAcentral
AGCAGUCGCCACGGGAAUACGUAGGUGGCAAGCGUUGUCCGGAAUUAUUGGGCGUAAAGGGCUCGCAGGCGGUUUCUUAAGUCUGAUGUGAAAGCCCCCGGCUCAACCGGGGAGGGUCAUUGGAAACUGGGAAACUUGAGUGCAGAAGAGGAGAGUGGAAUUCCACGUGUAGCGGUGAAAUGCGUAGAGAUGUGGAGGAACACCAGUGGCGAAGGCGACUCUCUGGUCUGUAACUGACGCUGAGGAGCGAAAGCGUGGGGAGCGAACAGGAUUAGAUACCCGUGUAGUCCCUGUCUCUUAUAC